RNAcentral lists this ribosomal RNA (253 nucleotides) under uncultured bacterium. RNAcentral describes it as "partial 16S ribosomal RNA". It matches the Rfam family "Bacterial small subunit ribosomal RNA", at positions 524 to 776 of the family's 1533-position model. The record is from RNAcentral.
UACGGGGGGGGCAAGCGUUGUUCGGAAUUACUGGGCGUAAAGCGUGCGCAGGCGGUGAUGUAAGACAGAUGUGAAAUCCCCGGGCUCAACCUGGGAACUGCAUUUGUGACUGCAUCGCUGGAGUGCGGCAGAGGGGGAUGGAAUUCCGCGUGUAGCAGUGAAAUGCGUAGAUAUGCGGAGGAACACCGAUGGCGAAGGCAAUCCCCUGGGCCUGCACUGACGCUCAUGCACGAAAGCGUGGGGAGCAAACGGG